CCUAUACAUGCAAGUCGAACGGUAACAUUGGUGCUUGCACCAGAUGACGAGUGGCGCACGGGUGCGUAACGCGUAUGCAACCUACCUUUUACUAGAGUAUAGCCCAGAGAAAUUUGGAUUAAUCCUCUAUAACAUCUUUUAAUUUCAUGAUUAUAAGAUUAAAGUUUUAACGGUAAAAGAUGGGCAUGCGUCCUAUUAGUUUGUAGGUGAGGUAACGGCUCACCUAGACUACGAUAGGUAGGGGCCCUGAGAGGGGGAUCCCCCACACUGGUACUGAGACACGGACCAGACUCCUACGGGAGGCAGCAGUAAGGAAUAUUGGACAAUGGACGAAAGUCUGAUCCAGCCAUGCCGCGUGCAGGAUGACAGCCCUACGGGUUGUAAACUGCUUUUAUACAGGAAGAAACACUCCGACGUGUCGGAGCUUGACGGUACUGUAAGAAUAAGGAUCGGCUAACUCCGUGCCAGCAGCCGCGGUAAUACGGAGGAUCCAAGCGUUAUCCGGAAUCAUUGGGUUUAAAGGGUCCGCAGGCUGUUUUUUAAGUCAGAGGUGAAAUCCUACAGCUCAACUGUAGAACUGCCUUUGAUACUGGAAAACUUGAGUCAUUGUGAAGUGGUUAGAAUGUGUGGUGUAGCGGUGAAAUGCGUAGAUAUCACACAGAAUACCGAUUGCGAAGGCAGAUCACUAACAAUAUACUGACGCUCAUGGACGAAAGCGUGGGGAGCGAACAGGAUUAGAUACCCUGGUAGUCCACGCCGUAAACGAUGGAUACUAGCUGUUCGUCUAACAUUGGUUAGAUGAGUGGCUAAGCGAAAGUGAUAAGUAUCCCACCUGGGGAGUACGGUCGCAAGACUGAAACUCAAAGGAAUUG
RNAcentral lists this ribosomal RNA (872 nucleotides) under uncultured Bacteroidota bacterium. Its description in RNAcentral is "bacterial SSU rRNA". It matches the Rfam family "Bacterial small subunit ribosomal RNA", at positions 48 to 912 of the family's 1533-position model. The record is from RNAcentral. Lineage: Bacteria; Pseudomonadati; Bacteroidota.